This 477-nucleotide ribosomal RNA is filed under the name uncultured bacterium. RNAcentral's name for it is "partial 16S ribosomal RNA". It matches the Rfam family "Bacterial small subunit ribosomal RNA", at positions 28 to 523 of the family's 1533-position model. The record is from RNAcentral.
GACGAACGCUGGCGGCGUACUAACACAUGCAAGUCGAACGAUGAAGCUGGAGCUUGCUCCGGUGGAUUAGUGGCGAACGGGUGAGUAACACGUGAGCAAUCUGCCCUUGACUCUGGGAUAACUGCGGGAAACUGUAGCUAAUACCGGAUACGAGACCUGAAGGCAUCUUCGGGUCUGGAAAGAAUUUCGGUCAAGGAUGAGCUCGCGGCCUAUCAGCUUGUUGGUGAGGUAAUGGCUCACCAAGGCGACGACGGGUAGCCGGCCUGAGAGGGUGACCGGCCACACUGGGACUGAGACACGGUCCAGACUCCUACGGGAGGCAGCAGUAGGGAAUUUUCCACAAUGGACGAAAGUCUGAUGGAGCAACGCCGCGUGCAGGAUGACAGCCUUCGGGUCGUAAACUGCUUUUAUGAGUGAAGAUUAUGACAGUAACUCAAGAAUAAGGGACGGCUAACUACGUGCCAGCCGCCGCCGUAA